This 520-nucleotide ribosomal RNA is filed under the name uncultured Glomeromycotina. RNAcentral's name for it is "SSU rRNA". It matches the Rfam family "Eukaryotic small subunit ribosomal RNA", at positions 569 to 1091 of the family's 1831-position model. Lineage: Eukaryota; Fungi; Glomeromycota. The record is from RNAcentral.
AGCAGCCGCGGUAAUUCCAGCUCCAAUAGCGUAUAUUAAAGUUGUUGCAGUUAAAAAGCUCGUAGUUGAAUUUCGAGACCGGUUUACUGGUCGUGCUUUUGUACGUACUGGUAUUAUUGGUUUCUCCUUUCUGACGAACUAUAAUGCCAUUAAUUUGGUGUUUUAGGGAAUCAGGACUGUUACUUUGAAAAAAUUAGAGUGUUUAAAAGCAGGCUCACGCUUGAAUACAUUAGCAUGGAAUAACGGAAUAGGACGUUUGAUUCUAUUUUGUUGGUUUCUAGGAUCGACGUAAUGAUUAAUAGGGAUAGUUGGGGGCAUUAGUAUUCAAUUAUCAGAGGUGAAAUUCUUAGAUUUAUUGAAGACUAACUACUGCGAAAGCAUUUGCCAAGGAUGUUUCAUUAAUCAAGAACGAAAGUUAGGGGAUCGAAGACGAUCAGAUACCGUCGUAGUCUUAACCAUAAACUAUGCCGACUAGGGAUCGGAUGAUGUUAAUUUUUAAUGUACUCAUUCGGCGCCUUAC